AAUCAACGCUGGCGGCGUGCCUCAGACAUGCAAGUCGAACGAUUAAACUUCCCUUCGGGGAAGAUAUAAAGUGGCGCACGGGUGAGUAACACGUAGGUAAUGUACCUUUGGGUGGGGAAUAACUUAGGGAAACUUAAGCUAAUACCGCAUAAUGCAGCGGCUCCUUCGGGAGACAGUUGUUAAAGAUUUAUCGCCUAAAGAGCAGCCUGCGGCAGAUUAGCUAGUUGGUAAGGUAACGGCUUACCAAGGCUACGAUCUGUAUCCGACCUGAGAGGGUGGUCGGACACACUGACACUGAAUAACGGGUCAGACUCCUACGGGAGGCAGCAGUCGGGAAUUUUGGGCAAUGGGCGAAAGCCUGACCCAGCAAUGCCGCGUGAAGGAUGAAGUCUUUCGGGAUGUAAACUUCGUAAGAAUAGGAAGAAUAAAUGACGGUACUAUUUGUAAGGUCCGGCUAACUACGUG
RNAcentral lists this ribosomal RNA (465 nucleotides) under uncultured bacterium. Its description in RNAcentral is "partial 16S ribosomal RNA". It matches the Rfam family "Bacterial small subunit ribosomal RNA", at positions 32 to 507 of the family's 1533-position model. The record is from RNAcentral.